This 576-nucleotide ribosomal RNA is filed under the name uncultured Arcocellulus. RNAcentral's name for it is "bacterial SSU rRNA". It matches the Rfam family "Bacterial small subunit ribosomal RNA", at positions 95 to 701 of the family's 1533-position model. Lineage: Eukaryota; Bacillariophyta; Thalassiosirophyceae; Cymatosirales; Cymatosiraceae. The record is from RNAcentral.
GUGGCGGACGGGUGAGUAACACGUGAGAAUUUGCCUUUAGGAGGGGGAUAACAGAGUGAAAACGCUGCUAAUACCCCAUAUGCUUUCGAGUGAAAUGGAUUUAUUCGCCUAAAGAGAAGCUCGCGGCUGAUUAGCUUGUUGGUAAGGUAAUGGCUUACCAAGGCGACGAUCAGUAUCUGGUUUGAGAGGACGAUCAGACACACUGGAACUGAGACACGGUCCAGACUCCUACGGGAGGCAGCAGUGGGGAAUUUUCCGCAAUGGGCGAAAGCCUGACGGAGCAAUACCGCGUGAGGGAUGACUGCCUAUGGGUUGUAAACCUCUUUUCUCAGGGAGGAAAUCAAUGACGUUACCUGAGGAAUAAGCAUCGGCUAACUCCGUGCCAGCAGCCGCGGUAAGACGGAGGAUGCAAGUGUUAUCCGGAAUCACUGGGCGUAAAGCGUCUGUAGGUGGCUUAACAAGUCAACUGUUAAAUCUUGAAGCUCAACUUCGAAAUCGCAGUCGAAACUGUUAGGCUAGAGUAUAGUAGGGGUAAAGGGAAUUUCCAGUGGAGCGGUGAAAUGCGUAGAGAUUGGA